This 272-nucleotide ribosomal RNA is filed under the name unidentified marine bacterioplankton. RNAcentral's name for it is "partial 16S ribosomal RNA". It matches the Rfam family "Bacterial small subunit ribosomal RNA", at positions 70 to 339 of the family's 1533-position model. The record is from RNAcentral.
CAGGCUGUAGCAAUACAGUGCUGGCGACCGGCGCACGGGUGCGUAACGCGUAUGCAACUUGCCUUUAACUGGAGGAUACCCCAAAGAAAUUUGGAAUAAUACUCCAUAGUAUCACGAGAUCUCAUGUUUUUUGUGAUUAAAGCUCCGGCGGUUAAAGAUAGGCAUGCGUCUGAUUAGCUAGUUGGUGAGGUAACGGCUCACCAAGGCGACGAUUAGUAGGGGGCCUGAGAGGGUGAACCCCCACACUGGUACUGAGACACGGACCAGACUCC